Molecule: ribosomal RNA, 231 nt
Filed under: uncultured bacterium
Lineage: Bacteria
Description: partial 16S ribosomal RNA
Rfam family: Bacterial small subunit ribosomal RNA
Source: RNAcentral
GAUCCUGGCUCAGGAUGAACGCUAGCUACAGGCUUAACACAUGCAAGUCGAGGGGCAGCAUGGUCUUAGCUUGCUAAGGCUGAUGGCGACCGGCGCACGGGUGAGUAACACGUAUCCAACCCGCCGUCUACUCUUGGCCAGCCUUCUGAAAGGAAGAUUAAUCCAGGAUGGGAUCAUGAGUUCACAUGUCCGCAUGAUUAAAGGUAUUUUCCGGUUAGACGAUGGGAUGCG